GCUGUGUGAGGGGGGGGUCUAUAGGUGUAAGAGGGGUCUAUGGCUGUGUGAAGGGGGUCUAUAGGUGUAAGAGGGGUCUAUGGCUGUGUGAGGGGGGUCUAUAGGUGUAAGAGGGCUCUAUGGCUGUGUGAGGGGGGCAUGCUGUGCCUCGGUGGAUGGAGGGAGCAAGGCAAGCUGUGUCCAGCAUGGUAGAGCUGGUUGGGGUACAAUGUACUUGGUGUCAGCGCUUGUCUGGGGAAAUACCUUCGGUCCAUUAUUCAUUUAUAAUGAAACAGCCCCUGUAAUUGCUGUGUUUGGAGAUGGGGUCAAGUCUGAGCUUGUAUUAAUGCACUGUCAGAGGGCUAGAAUGCAAAGAGGGGAACUCAAUGGGAAAAAGCAUCAGGUAGUACUGUGUGCUUAUAACUGUGGGGCUGGUUGUAUUGGUGUUAGGAAAGGCAGCUGUGUGUUAUAGGAAGGGAUGGAGGAGCUGCUGUGGGCUGCAAGCUGAAUAGCAAUGUCCUGCUGUUAGAGCAGUGAAUGCCAUGCAGGUCUGUAUAGUGCUAAUAGGAUACAGGCAUCCUGCCAUGCUGAGCUGUGCUAAAACGGUGUGUCCAGUGCUGGGCUCCAUGUGAGCAAAAUGUGUGUGAUUUAGAGGAAAAAGGGUAAAAAUAAUGCUCAGUCUUUGAACACAUGACUGUUACAGAGCUGGAGGGAACAGAGCCACAGACGUAAGUCUUCAAAUAGAUAAAAGGAUGCUGCCAUGAGGGAAGGGACGAUUUGUUCUCUCAUGUCCAUUGGGGGUAGUAGGGUGAGGAGCCAUAAGCUAAAGUAGCAGGCAGAUGACUAGGCAACAUGGAGGCUUUUCUUAGAGGUUUUAAGAAUAGAUCAGACAAAUAUUUCUCACAAUGGGUGAAGUACAAUGGAAGGUCUUUCAUUCAGGAAGGAGACUUUGCUUAAUGGGCUCCUAAACCGGUGCUGCUGUGGUUCUUCAGCCCUGAGAUACGUAAUGGCUGCAGCCCUUAUUGGCUUAACGAUAAAACUAGUUCAGCUGCACAGAUUAAGGAUGCUCAACUAGGCCAAGUAACGUUACAUAACGGGAAUGAAAUUGACUUUAAGCAUGGCUUUAUGUUUUCAAAACCAUUUUCAGCAGAUGGGGUGAAAGUAUCUAAAUGAGGAACUCUGCAGAGCUUUUAAGCAUUAAAGGCUUCAUCUUCAGCAUAGCUUUCCAGAGUACGUUCCACCUUUGUUCCUGUGGUAUUGCUGGUGCAAUUUAACUGUGGUAAUCCAGAAAGGAUGCCAAUGUUUUGGAGAUUAAGGCCUUGCAAGCCAAAUCAAACUGAUUGUAAUAAAAGUAGUAUAGUAGUAUGACCUUAGGAUAUACUUGGGGGGGGGGAGGCCAGGAGGAGCUGGGACAUUGUUUUGUAUGCAAGGGCAUACAGUUGGUAACAGCUACUCAAAAAGUAAGAUGCUAUGUAACAAAAGGGUAUUUGCAGAUAACAGUGCUUAGUUUGAGAGGCCUUUGAGAUGUGUGUUAUUCAUCUCACUACUGGAAAACGUAGCAAUUCCUGACACUGAGCAUUAUAUCAUAUCUGAUGCUUAAAAGGGGGACACAUGAAAGGUCAUAUUUUCCUAAUUGCAUCCUCUGCAGUCCUAGAACUGCCAUUUAGGUCACUAUUUAUCAAGAUUGAUUCUCAUCAGAAAUACUCUUGAAUUAUGAUGAGUGUUUGCCUUAAGGUCAGAUGAAGUCACCGAUUGAAAGAACUGCAAAUUCAUGAGUUUAAAGCAUGAUAAGUCCCUGUAUCCAAUUGUCCUGCUUUGUUUUUGUUGGUUAUUUUGCAUCUUAAAACAAUGUUAUGUGUGACAAUUGUUAGAACUUCAUAUAAUUUGUGCAAUGGUUGUGACACAAAAUAAGAAGGAAGGCAGACUGCAUAUUGAUCAGGCUUACUGAGUGGUCUUCUUGCAUACUGGCUUUCUAGGUAAUGAUAAGCUCAAUGCUGACUGCUUUUUCCUUCCUGUCAGAGAAGAUGGGAGCCUCCGUGCUCAAGCUGGUAGGGCUGGGGCUCCAAGUUCCCAUCUUUAGAACUAAGUGUCCAGUGUGCAAUGCUCAGCAGUACCUGCCCUGCUGUUAACCUGCUUUCCAGAGAAAAGAAACAGUGGCAAUAUUUAUUGCUUUUUCUUUUUAGAUUGACAGUGAAAUUGUACCCAGCUGUUUUAAGCACUGCCUCAUUCGAGGCACUCACUAGGAGCCAGCCCUGCUAUUUCCUGAACGUAUCUUCCACAACCAGGAUAAUCUCAUGCCCUGCAGCCUGUGCUCUGCUGCCACAGGAGCUGUGCCCACCUCCCAGGCUGUCAGAGUUUGCUUCUGUGCUUCUCCAUCAUCCUAUUGCAGCACCUUGUGGCAACAGGUUUGAGCAGCAUCCUGGUUUGUUGUUUUGCUGUCACACUGUGAACAAUCUCAAUUAUUAUUAUUUCUAUAUAAUAACCUUUAUUAAGACUUUGCGUUACAGCUAUUAUCAAGAGCUAUUAUUAUUAUAUAUAACGCAAGAGCUUUGCGUUACAGCUAUUAUCAAUAUUUUCAAGAAAUAGCCCAGAUCCCACCUUGUAUCUUAAAGCCCCACACCUGUCAGUGCAGGUAUUUCUCAAGUACUGAUGGUGUCUUCUGUCAUUCAGGGUACACUUGAGGACUCUUAUUUUCAGUUUCUCAGAUCUCAUGCAGAUAGUUCUUCCAUCUGCACAUUGCUGCAUUCCUUCUGUCCUCUCAUGUAUUAACUGUGUAGACAUCUAAAUGAUCUCAAGCCUGUUAGUGCAAUUUUGCUAUAUACCAUGCCCCCCAGAUGAGACAGAAUCUCUCUUAAAGAAAAGCCUUCCUGUGCAAUUUUGGUGCCCGUAAGGUGUCCUUAUUGGUCAUCCCUUUUGGAAGUAGUAGGAUGCUGCUUAUUAGCCCUUUCUUGUUUACUGUUAGUGAAAACGCCCCUUGUACAGUUGCCAUUUCAGACCUUAUCUCCAUGCAUAAACAGGUUUGUGGAGUAUCUAUGUUGAGAACACACCUGUUUUCCUCAUCUUGGUUCCACACCCUUUUCUGCUAUGAUAAAUUCAUGGCAGGUGGCUUCAGACAUGAGCUCCAACUUCAGUGCCUGUUCCUGAGCCACUAACAUGGAGGAAAAGGACUUUGUCACUUGGGUAUCUCCCCAGAAGUGAGCUCUUUUCUUGCUGAGAAAAUCCCUGGUGUGCAUUUUGAGCUGAUUUGGCCAUCCCACCCCUUUCCUCUGUCGUCUAGUUUGUGUUUGGCCUUCCUGUACUUGGAUAGGCUUUGGUUAUCCUUCUAUUCCUAGACCAGCAAAUAUUUAACAAGAGAGAAGUUUGCAUUGGAAAAUAAGUGUCUUAGGAUAUGUCUGCUGUGAUCCUUUCACAAAUUAUCAAGAUGCAUUUACGUGAUGAAGCACUGAGCUUGGACAGGAGAUAUAUACAGCUGCUUCAAUUGAAUUCUCAGUGUUUUCAGUUCUGCAGAAGAACCUGAUGUUUCUGCUUGGAAACACAUAUAGCUCUAUAUCCAGUUACUAAUCUAAAAAGGAACAGCAGUAUAAAUAAUAACACAAGGGAUUUGAAGUGUUGAUAUGGAAUUAUGAGGAUCAGGAAAAGAAAUUGGAAGAUGGAAUCUACCCCAGGAUCUGCAGAUGCUCAUACUCUUGAGUUUUGUUGCAACACAAAAAUAAAGGGCUGCCUUUCUCAAUUGGAUCUAAAUUGAUGGAAGUAAUCCCAGCUGACAUGGGCAGCGCUAGAUCAGACCAUAAACCAGGUGCCAGUAUGCUUGCUUAGUACCUCUGGAAUACUCAAAGAUGUUUGUCUGUGUGGUCUAUCCUUCAUGGAAAUGAACUGCACAAUGUGGUGGAUGUUAAAAUAGCUUCUUAGGUCUAUGCACGGAAUGAAAUGGCAGGAGUUUUGGAGGGCACCCGCUGCUCUGAUUUGUGCUCCUUCCAGCUCUGUCAGUAUCAGGCUGAAGAGCUCUUCCUGCAGCUUUUCUCAUGCUGAUGCCCUCCAGCUAACUGAAAAACAUGGAAUCAAUGUGAGAAGUAACUGAAGCACACACAUCAGCAGCGGGUGUCAGAAGGGCCCAAGGUUUCAGAAGCAUUCUGCAUGGGACCACAGUCCAUUGCAAACACAGCUCAUGUGAGACUGGGAGAAUUGGAGAGAGCAAAGAAAAAUGGAGUAGUUAUUUCUGCCUGAUGAACUUCCUCCAAAGCCUCUUUUCCUUUUGGAGUUGAGUGACUGAGUCAUUCUGAGCUCAGAGAUCUGAAAGUCAGAGUUUGAACUCUGUGGUCUAAUGCCUGCAGACAGGAAAGCAAAACAUCACACGAGUUCUAUGGAUCACACCACCGGUUUGCAGCAGCAGGACAGAAUGUCAAUGGAAAGUUCUUUUACUUUAGAAAGAAUUGGAGAAUCAGUAACGAAGAACUUCUGUUGUGUCUCAUAUCUGCUUUUUCCUCUCGGUUUUAGGCAGAGGUGGGCUCCAGCCCUUUCAAGCAGAAUUUCAAGUCACUGAACUCAUCCUCCAGCACCACUUGGUGAUACUCAGGGCAGCAUUUCCAUGGCCAGGAUGCAGCUUGGUGCUACAGUCCAUCUUUACUCUCAUCAUUUGGCCCAGGGACACCUCAGCACCCAGCGAGUUUGCAUAUUCCUACUGAAGAGAUGGGAAUCCAGUGUUCAUCCUGCAUUCUCUGCUACACCUCCUGCCUCUGGGAGCAGCAAGCCUCCAUUUGCAAGUGCUGUGUUUGCUGCUUUUGUGGAAUUUAUUAAAGAUUUCUUUAAUAAAACAGUUGCUGUUAUUGAUCUGAA
Molecule: non-coding RNA, 4812 nt
Organism: Coturnix japonica (Japanese quail)
Lineage: Eukaryota; Metazoa; Chordata; Aves; Galliformes; Phasianidae
Source: RefSeq, a predicted model, not a curated record